UACGUAGGGUGCGAGCGUUGUCCGGAAUUAUUGGGCGUAAAGAGCUUGUAGGCGGUCUGUCGCGUCUGCUGUGAAAAUCCGGGGCUCAACCCCGGACUUGCAGUGGGUACGGGCAGACUAGAGUGCGGUAGGGGAGACUGGAAUUCCUGGUGUAGCGGUGAAAUGCGCAGAUAUCAGGAGGAACACCGAUGGCGAAGGCAGGUCUCUGGGCCACUACUGACGCUGAGAAGCGAAAGCAUGGGGAGCGAACAGG
Molecule: ribosomal RNA, 253 nt
Filed under: uncultured bacterium
Lineage: Bacteria
Description: partial 16S ribosomal RNA
Rfam family: Bacterial small subunit ribosomal RNA
Source: RNAcentral